This is a long non-coding RNA of Neofelis nebulosa (Clouded leopard), 1893 nucleotides long. RefSeq lists it as uncharacterized. Lineage: Eukaryota; Metazoa; Chordata; Mammalia; Carnivora; Felidae. The record is from RefSeq and is a predicted model, not a curated record. The transcript has 4 exons.
ACAUUCCCUGGAAAAAUGGGUGGGUAGACUCCGGACUCAGGCACAGGACUCACCACCCAGGCUGCCGACUCUCCCUGCCCACCACCUCCCUGUGUCUGGUGCUCAUCACUGUCAGUGUUCUUAGCCCCUGGGGUUGUCCCUUUAUAAAUCGGCUUCCCCCGCAGGCUUGGGAGCUCUCCAAGGACAGGGACUGCAUCUAACCUGUGUCUCUGUGUCUCCACGCCUGGGCUGGGGCCUGACACACAGUAGGUGCCGAAUGAGGGUUUGCUGAGUACUCAGUCUUAAAGGCAUUACUCGAGGGUUGAUACGUGACCCAAGGGUUUAUUGGAGGAAGUUUCUUCCACAGUCUGACAGUAAACACUCCCUCUGACCCCUCUGGAAUGCUCUUGGCACUUGUUUCCAAGUCAGGCCCUGAAAAAUGAACCCUGUGUGUUAAUUACAGAGCGAAACAAUGCAUUCUGGACUCCACCUCGGGGCGGCCAUGUGGUCGGCCAGCUGAUGCAGAGACUGUCCCCAGGGAAGGGACCUCCAGUCCCUCCAGGCCUGGGCGAUAGUUCCUGGCAUCCAGGUCCUCCAGGGGCCAACCACAGAAACCAGGGACCCACUUGGCAUAUCAACAGGAAGAGUUGUUAUUGCCAUGCUUGUGGGCAUGCGCCCGUAUGCACACCCACACCCCCCCAAAAAGAACAAAAGCAAAACCAAAAUGAGAUGAAAGAGGCAAUGAGAAAAGGUUGGGGGGGGGGGCAAAGAAAGGGACAAACAAAUGUGUUUGUGGGCCAUAUAAAGCCCGUGAGUUCCCAAUUCCCGAAGCUCUUCCCCAUUUUACAGAUGAGUACGCUGAGAGGCAACAGCGUGCCCAAAGUCACCAGGAGUUAGUGCGUGGUCCGGGAUGAAGUUUCUGAUUUUCUGGCCCAGAUUCUCCCCUCUGUUUUGUCCUUGAGGCCGAGGGUCUGCAGGCUCCAGGGGCAGGACCUCUCAGGAGAGGAACAAGGGCCACCUGCCUCCCCGGCAACCCCCACCCCCACCUUUCCCCAGGAACCCUUUGUGACAGGGGGUGCCCAGUACUCGUGCAUCAGGUAGCUGAUGCUGUCACCCCAGGAGGGGGCCAGAGAUGAGGGACUGGGGCUAUCACGUGAAUACUGGGAUCCGGGUAGACAGAGGCUUCUCUGAAAUUGGAUGUUCAUGGGGAAGGAGGACCGAGGUCAGCUUUAGAGCUAUAGACCAAUCUGGGUUGGAAUGCGAGCUCUUUUCCUUCUAAGGCAGAAGCUGAAAUAGAAAAAAAAAAUUUAAGGCGAACACAACGUUGCCGCUCUAAGUGGAGAAGCCGUCUUGCUGGUCAUGAACUGAAGUCACUGACAAAGAGAGACAGAGCAUGAGCAGGGGAGGAGCAGAGAGAGAGAGGAAGACACAGAAUCGGAAGCAGCUCCAGGCUCCAAGCUGUCAGCACAGAGCCCGACGCGGGGCAUGAACUCCUGAACCGCGAGAUCAAGACCUGAGCCAAAGUCGGCCACUCGACCGACUGAGCCCCCCCAGGCGCCUCGACUCUGCCUUGAUCUUGGACUUGCAGCCUGCACGGCUGUGAGAAUAAACGUGGUUUAAGCCACCUGGUCUGUGCUAUUUUGUCGCAGCAGCCUGAGCGGACUGAGGCAGGGAGCACGAGGCCCGUGGCUGGGUGUCGAGAGACUUCAUUUCUGCCCCUCUUCUGCUAGUGUGACUCUUGGCCGGGGUUGCCCUUCUCUGGGACUCAGUUUCCCCAUCUGUAAAGGCAGGACCAUUAACUCUACAGAUAACAGGUGAUGCUAGAGAAAGUCACCUCUCCAACGUCUGUGCAGCCGGGGGUCAGCAUUUGGGUUUUCUUCUCGGGGCCGCGGGGAGGACGAAGGAACGUUCUGG